UUACUGCUGAAGAGUCCCAAACUAGGACGAAACAGCUAUCCAGUAC
RNAcentral lists this non-coding RNA (46 nucleotides) under Trichobilharzia regenti. The record is from RNAcentral. Lineage: Eukaryota; Metazoa; Platyhelminthes; Trematoda; Strigeidida; Schistosomatidae.